This 433-nucleotide ribosomal RNA is filed under the name uncultured bacterium. RNAcentral's name for it is "partial 16S ribosomal RNA". It matches the Rfam family "Bacterial small subunit ribosomal RNA", at positions 29 to 507 of the family's 1533-position model. The record is from RNAcentral.
AACGAACGCUGGCGGCAUGCCUAACACAUGCAAGUCGAACGAGACCUUCGGGUCUAGUGGCGCACGGGUGCGUAACGCGUGGGAACCUGCCCUUAGGUUCGGAAUAACUCCCCGAAAGGGGUGCUAAUACCGGAUAAUGUCGUCGGACCAAAGAUUUAUCGCCUCUGGAUGGGCCCGCGUUGGAUUAGCUAGUUGGUAGGGUAAAAGCCUACCAAGGCGACGAUCCAUAGCUGGUCUGAGAGGAUGAUCAGCCACACUGGGACUGAGACACGGCCCAGACUCCUACGGGAGGCAGCAGUGGGGAAUAUUGGACAAUGGGCGAAAGCCUGAUCCAGCAAUGCCGCGUGAGUGAUGAAGGCCUUAGGGUUGUAAAGCUCUUUUACCCGGGAUGAUAAUGACAGUACCGGGAGAAUAAGCGCCGGCUAACUCCGUG